RNAcentral lists this unclassified non-coding RNA (336 nucleotides) under soil metagenome. Its description in RNAcentral is "partial contains 5.8S ribosomal RNA, internal transcribed spacer 2, and large subunit ribosomal RNA". The stretch from base 1 to 120 matches the Rfam family "5.8S ribosomal RNA", at positions 35 to 154 of the family's 154-position model. The record is from RNAcentral.
GAUGAAGAACGCAGCGAAAUGCGAUAAGUAAUGUGAAUUGCAGAAUUCAGUGAAUCAUCGAAUCUUUGAACGCACAUUGCGCCCGCCAGUAUUCUGGCGGGCAUGCCUGUUCGAGCGUCAUUUCAACCAUCAAGCCCCAGGCUUGUGUUGGGGACCUGCGGCUGCCGCAGGCCCUGAAAACCAGUGGCGGGCUCGCUGUCACAUCGGGCGUAGUAGAUUUUAUCUCGCUCAGGGCGUGCUGCGGGUUCCGGCCGUUAAAAAGCCUUUUUUACCCAAGGUUGACCUCGGAUCAGGUAGGAAGACCCGCUGAACUUAAGCAUAUCAAUAAGCGGAGGA